RNAcentral lists this unclassified non-coding RNA (1531 nucleotides) under Anneissia japonica. RNAcentral's name for it is "uncharacterized LOC117106675, transcript variant X1". Lineage: Eukaryota; Metazoa; Echinodermata; Crinoidea; Comatulida; Comatulidae. The record is from RNAcentral.
GGUCUUCAAACGAAGAUUCAAGAAACACUGUCAUCAUUCCUAAAUGUAAAAGAAAGGAAAAUUUCAACAAAAUAUUUCACACCUCACAGGCAAAAGCUGAUGGAACUGGGGGAGAAUUGACUGCAGCUGAUGUGUCAAAGAUCGAUGGAUUGUAUAAUGAAGCUAAGGAGUAUACAGACAGCUGGAGUAUGAUCUAGAAAGCACACUGAAAAUUAGAGAAGGAAAUAUGAAGGAUUUGAUUUGUUGGAAAUAUUUAAUCUCAGUCGGGCAUUGGAGGCACUAACAGAAGGUUUUAGAGUUUCUGAGGCAAGAGAUGAAAGUUUUGACCACUGGAAUGAAGCAUCCUGUGUUGGAUGGGCUCGCAAGAAAUGCAUUUUCAUGAUUUGGAAGAGUGGAGAACAUUCUAUCCUGUGCGGAGAGAGAUUGAUAACGACAGGCAAACUACAUUGGUAGAGCGAGUGACGCCGCUCUGAGCUCCGGCUCUUUAGUUUAACAUUUUGCCCACUUCCUUGAUGAGCUUUUACAUUAAAUGUGGAUUCUAAAUGAAGGAAAAUAUAUUUAAUAUUGCUACUUUCAAUGUUAGAGGAUUAGGCGACAAAUUCAAGAGACAUCAACUAGCAACAUAUAUAACAAAUUAUAAGGUGGACGUAGGCUGCCUUCAAGAAACUAAACUCACGGAGACGAUUGACGAAUACGUACACGAAUGCCGAUCCAUCAAUCUAGGCACUAAGGUUAAGUAUUAUGGAUGUGGCUUCAUUAUUCACAAGCGAUGGGCACCAAGUAUUUCUAAAUUUUGGAAAGUUUCAGACCGAAUAUCAGUUUUACAACUUAAAACGAAGGAGAACAAGUUUAUUACUUUAAUUAAUGUCUAUGCACCCACCAUUAACCGGGCAGAAAAAUACCCGGCCGAACGUGAACGUAUGUACAAGGAAUUAGAUUAACUCAUAGAAAUCUAGGUUAUGUGGAUGAUAAGCACUUAUAUCUUAUUGCCAAAGACAUGAGACUGGAAGGCGAACAACUAGGCCGCAGCCUGGGUCUCAGUUGGAGCAAGAUACAACAAAUAUGGAGUGAUAACAGACGAUUGCUGGAAUGCAUAAUGGAAAUGCUGACAGAAUGGAGAAAACAACAGGACUAUGAGACAAAUCAAGUUGAGAUAAUGUGCAUUGCUUUAAAAGAGCAGGCACUCACCGAGCUUGCUAACAAGGUCUUUGGCUCACAAACAUCAGAGGAUCAAUCAUCCCAUGUACAAGCAAGUACAGAUCAUCCUUGUGGAAGAUUACAUUGAAUGAACCAGCAACAUGAUGGUUGCUUGGCUGAUACUGACCUUAAGUUCAUUGCUGGAAGACUUGACAAUGACUGGAAACAUUUAAGCACCUACCUUCAAAUGAAGAGCUAUGAAUAAAUCAAAUUGCAAGAAUAUUUUCAGGACACAUGCUUUGGAGACCAAAAUGACAUUACAUCAUGACUAUAUAUGGGCACAUCAUGACUAUAUAUGGGCUCAUCAUGACUAUAUAAUAUGGGCACAUCAUGA